This 429-nucleotide ribosomal RNA is filed under the name Acidobacteriota bacterium. RNAcentral's name for it is "Acidobacteria bacterium partial 16S ribosomal RNA". It matches the Rfam family "Bacterial small subunit ribosomal RNA", at positions 355 to 776 of the family's 1533-position model. Lineage: Bacteria; Pseudomonadati; Acidobacteriota. The record is from RNAcentral.
UGGGGAAUUUUGGACAAUGGGGGAAACCCUGAUCCAGCCAUCCCGCGUGUGCGAUGAAGGCCUUCGGGUUGUAAAGCACUUUUGGCAGGAAAGAAACGUCAUGGGUUAAUACCCCGUGAAACUGACGGUACCUGCAGAAUAAGCACCGGCUAACUACGUGCCAGCAGCCGCGGUAAUACGUAGGGUGCAAGCGUUAAUCGGAAUUACUGGGCGUAAAGCGUGCGCAGGCGGUUCGGAAAGAAAGAUGUGAAAUCCCAGAGCUCAACUUUGGAACUGCAUUUUUAACUUCCGGGCUAGUGUGUGUCAGAGGGAGGUGGAAUUCCGCGUGUAGCAGUGAAAUGCGUAGAUAUGCGGAGGAACACCGAUGGCGAAGGCAGCCUCCUGGGAUAACACUGACGCUCAUGCACGAAAGCGUGGGGAGCAAACAGG